This 253-nucleotide ribosomal RNA is filed under the name uncultured bacterium. Its description in RNAcentral is "partial 16S ribosomal RNA". It matches the Rfam family "Bacterial small subunit ribosomal RNA", at positions 524 to 776 of the family's 1533-position model. The record is from RNAcentral.
UACGAAGGGGGCUAGCGUUGCUCGGAAUCACUGGGCGUAAAGGGUGCGUAGGCGGGUCUUUAAGUCAGGGGUGAAAUCCUGGAGCUCAACUCCAGAACUGCCUUUGAUACUGAAGAUCUUGAGUUCGGGAGAGGUGAGUGGAACUGCGAGUGUAGAGGUGAAAUUCGUAGAUAUUUGGAAGAACACCAGUGGCGAAGGCGGCUCACUGGACCGGUAUUGACGCUGAGGUGCGAAAGCGUGGGGAGCAAACAGG